This 68-nucleotide transfer RNA is filed under the name Bambusiphaga taibaishana. Its description in RNAcentral is "tRNA-Met". Lineage: Eukaryota; Metazoa; Arthropoda; Insecta; Hemiptera; Delphacidae. The record is from RNAcentral.
AAAAAGAUAAGCUAAAAUAAAGCUAUUGGGCCCAUAACUCAUUUAUGAUUAAAAUUAAUCUCUUUUUA